AACGAACGCUGGCGGCGCGUUUUAAGCAUGCAAGUCGAACGGGAUCCAAGGUGCUUGCACUUUGGUGAGAGUGGCGAACGGGUGAGUAACACGUAGAUGAUCUGCCUUAAGGUUGGGGAUAGCUCAUGGAAACAUGGGGUAAUACCGAAUAAGUUUGUGGGAGUAAAUGCCCAUAAGGAAAGGGGCUUAGGCCUCGCCUUAAAGAUGAGUCUGCGCCUUAUUAGCUAGUUGGUGGGGUAAAGGCCUACCAAGGCAACGAUAAGUAGCCGGCCUGAGAGGGUGACCGGCCACACUGGAACUGAGACACGGUCCAGACUCCUACGGGAGGCAGCAGCUAAGAAUCUUCCGCAAUGGGCGAAAGCCUGACGGAGCGACGCCGCGUGUAUGAUGAAGGCCGUGAGGUUGUAAAGUACUUUUGUCAAUGAAGAAUAAGGGUGUAGGGAAUGACCACUUGAUGACGUUAGUUGACGAAUAAGCCCGGCUAAUUACGUGCCAG
RNAcentral lists this ribosomal RNA (496 nucleotides) under uncultured bacterium. Its description in RNAcentral is "bacterial SSU rRNA". It matches the Rfam family "Bacterial small subunit ribosomal RNA", at positions 29 to 511 of the family's 1533-position model. The record is from RNAcentral.